This 1381-nucleotide unclassified non-coding RNA is filed under the name Homarus americanus (American lobster). RNAcentral describes it as "transaldolase-like, transcript variant X1". Lineage: Eukaryota; Metazoa; Arthropoda; Malacostraca; Decapoda; Nephropidae. The record is from RNAcentral.
CAACUAUCAAACUACUCAGUUUGUGGCUUGUGGGCGGUGCAUUUAGGCUGACGUCACGGUGAAAUCAAUAUAUAAAGGUCGUCACGUUCAUUCACGAUGUCAGAGUCACCUACAAAGAAGAGCAAGAUGGCCACGUCCCUGGACCAGCUGAAGGAGGUGACGGUGGUGGUGGCGGACACCGGAGACUUUGAGACCAUGAAGAAGUACAAGCCAACAGAUGCCACCACAAACCCCUCACUCAUCCUUCAGGCAGCCAACAUGCCCCAGUAUGCUUCACUCAUUGAUGAAGCUGUGGAGUAUGGCAAGGGCAAAGGCCACAACAAAUCUGACAAGCUGACCCACGCAAUGGAUAAGUUGUUUGUGUUGUUUGGAUGUGAGAUCCUGAAGAUCGUUCCUGGGAGGGUCAGCAUUGAGGUGGAUGCUCGACUGAGUUUUGAUAAGGAAGCCAGCAUCACCAAAGCCCGCAAGUUCAUCUCCAUGUUUGCUGCUGAAGGUAUCGACAAGGAGCGUAUUCUGAUUAAGCUGGCAUCGACCUGGGAAGGAAUCCAAGCCGCAAAGGUGUUGGAGGAGGAACAUGGCAUUCAUUGCAACCUGACGCUGUUGUUCGGCUUCGCUCAGGCUGUGGCGUGUGCUGAAGCUGGAGUGACUCUCAUAUCUCCCUUUGUUGGUCGUAUUCUUGAUUGGUAUGUUGCAAACAGUGAGCAGAAGUCAUAUGAGCCUCAGGAUGACCCAGGAGUGAAGAGUGUCACCCGCAUCUACAACUACUAUAAAAAGUUUGGCUACAACACUGUUGUUAUGGGAGCUUCGUUCAGGAAUAGUGGUGAGAUCUGUGAACUUGCUGGUUGUGAUCUUCUGACCAUUGGCCCCAAAUUCCUCGAGGAACUGCAGAAUUCUAAAGAACCUAUCAUAGAACACCUGUCAGAGGCCAGUGCCAAAAAACAUGACUUGGAAAAGGUCGAGAUGAAAGAAGCCAAGUUCCGUUGGGAAAUGAAUGAAGAUCAGAUGGCCACUGACAAACUGUCCGAGGGAAUCCGCAAGUUUGCAGUUGAUGCAGUAAAGCUGGAGAAAAUGCUCCUGGAGAAGCUGAAGCAAUAUUGAAAAGCUUCUUCAGAUGGGCAGUGGACUAGACUGGAGGAAACUUGCACAGCUUGAUAAUGUGAGGAAAGGAACAUUGACCAGGGCUGCUACAGGACGGUCCCUCCUCUGCUGCUACAAGGCAUAGAAAGCUUACAUAUGAACUGAAAAGUUUUUAUUAUAUAUACCUACAUCAGCUGAAUUGCAUAAAAUUCAUGUACAGUACUAUUUACAAUAUCAUAAAUUACCUAUGUUAAUAUUUUCAAAUUUAACUAUCAAUAAAUGUAGAUUUUUGUUUUGACAUUAA